RNAcentral lists this ribosomal RNA (587 nucleotides) under uncultured bacterium. Its description in RNAcentral is "partial 16S ribosomal RNA". It matches the Rfam family "Bacterial small subunit ribosomal RNA", at positions 355 to 1376 of the family's 1533-position model. The record is from RNAcentral.
UGGGGAAUAUUGGACAAUGGGCGAAAGCCUGAUCCAGCCAUGCCGCGUGUGUGAAGAAGGUCUUCGGAUUGUAAAGCACUUUAAGUUGGGAGGAAGGGCAUUUACCUAAUACGUAAGUGUUUUGACGUUACCGACAGAAUAAGCACCGGCUAACUCUGUGCCAGCAGCCGCGGUAAUACAGAGGGUGCAAGCGUUAAUCGGAAUUACUGGGCGUAAAGCGCGCGUAGGUGGUUCGUUAAGUUGGAUGUGAAAUCCCCGGGCUCAACCUGGGAACUGCAUUCAAAACUGUCGAGCUAGAGUAUGGUAGAGGGUGGUGGAAUUUCCUGUGUAGCGGUGAAAUGCGUAGAUAUAGGAAGGAACACCAGUGGCGAAGGCGACCACCUGGACUGAUACUGACACUGAGGUGCGAAAGCGUGGGGAGCAAAACAGGAUUAGAUACCCUGGUAGUCCACGCCGUAAACGUGUCAACUAGCCGUUGGGAGCCUUGAGCUCUUAGUGGCGCAGCUAACGCAUUAAGUUGACCGCCUGGGGAGUACGGCCGCAAGGUUAAAACUCAAAUGAAUUGACGGGGUCAUAGCUGUUUCCUG